CUGCCCAAUGAGUAUUUAAAUGGCCGCGGUAUUUUGACCGUGCAAAGGUAGCAUAAUCAUUAGUUUUUUAAUUAAAAGCUGGUAUGAAAGGUUGGAUGAGAAAAUAGCUGUCUCUGUUUAAAUUAUUUUAGAAUUUUAUUUUUAAGUAAAAAAGCUUAAAUAUAAAUAGAAGACGAGAAGACCCUAUAGAGUUUUAUAGAUUUUAAUUUAAAAAGUUUUUAGAAUUGAAAAAAAAUUAAAUUAAUAUUUAUUUAGUUGGGGUGAUUGAAAAAUUAAAAAAACUUUUUUUAUUUUUUAUAACAUAAAUUUAUGAUUGGAUGAUCCUUAAUUAAAGAUUAUAAGAAAAAAUUACCUUAGGGAUAACAGCGUAAUUUUUUUAAAGAGUUCAAAACGAAAAAAAAGC
This 403-nucleotide ribosomal RNA is filed under the name Gymnopholus nitidus. RNAcentral's name for it is "partial 16S ribosomal RNA". The record is from RNAcentral. Lineage: Eukaryota; Metazoa; Arthropoda; Insecta; Coleoptera; Curculionidae.